UUCCGGUUGAUCCUGCCAGAGGCGACCGCUUUUGGAGUUCGAUUAAGCCAUGCGAGUAGAAUGAAAUUAGAUUCAUUGCAAACUGCUCAGUAACACGUGGAUAACCUGCCCUAUUGUCUGGAAUAACCUCGGGAAACUGAGAACAAGGCCGGAUAACCCACAAUGCCUGGAACGGUUUGUGGGUGAAGAUAGGAUGGGUCUGCGGCGUAUCAGGUCGUAGGGGGUGUAAUGGACCUCCUAGCCAUCGACGCGUACGGGUGUUGGGAGACAUAGCCCGGAGAUGGAUUCUGAGACACGAAUCCAGACCCUACGGGGUGCAGCAGGCGCGAAAACUUCACACUGCAGGAAACUGUGAUGAGGGAACUCCAAGUGCAUUCACUAUGUGGAUGCUUUUUUUGACUAUUAAUCGGUCAACGAAUAAGGGCUGGGAAAGACCGGUGCCAGCCGCCGCGGUAAUACCGGCAGCUCAAGUGGUCGUCGCUUUUAUUGGGCCUAAAACGUCCGUAGCCUGUUUGGUAAAUCUGUGGGUAAAUCAACCAGCUUAACUGGUUGAAUUCUGCAGAGACUGCCAGACUAGGGACCGGGAGAGGUGUGGGGUACUCUAGGGGUAGGGGUAAAAUCCUGUCAUCCUUAGAGGACCACCAGUUGCGAAGGCGCCACACUGGAACGGAUCCGACGGUCAGGGACGAAGCCUAGGGGCACGAACCGGAUUAGAUACCCGGGUAGUCCUAGGUGUAAACGCUGUGAACUUGGUGUCGGGGAUCCGCGAUGGGUCCUCGGUGCCGGAGUGAAGAUGUUAAGUUCACUGCCUGGGGAGUACGGUCGCAAGGCUGAAACUUAAAGGAAUUGGCGGGGGAGCACUGCAACGGGAGGAGCGUGCGGUUUAAUUGGACUCAACGCCGGGA
RNAcentral lists this ribosomal RNA (905 nucleotides) under uncultured Candidatus Poseidoniales archaeon. RNAcentral's name for it is "bacterial SSU rRNA". It matches the Rfam family "Archaeal small subunit ribosomal RNA", at positions 1 to 923 of the family's 1478-position model. The record is from RNAcentral. Lineage: Archaea; Methanobacteriati; Thermoplasmatota; Candidatus Poseidoniia; Candidatus Poseidoniales.